AAUGCUAAAAGAAUGGAAAUUUAAAAAAAAACUUUUUUAAAAAUAAAAAUUGAAUUUUUUUUAAUUUGUGCAAAAACAAUUAUUAUUAUUAAAGACAAGAAGACCCUAAGAAUUUAUGAUUUUGUAAUUAAAAAAAUUUUUUUUUUAAAAAAUCUUGAUUGGGGCGAUCAAAAAAUAUUAAUAACUUUUUAAAUUUAAAUUGAUCUAUUAUUAAUAAACUAAUGAAUUAAAUACUCUAGGGAUAACAGCG
RNAcentral lists this ribosomal RNA (250 nucleotides) under Hyalomma excavatum. RNAcentral's name for it is "partial large subunit ribosomal RNA". Lineage: Eukaryota; Metazoa; Arthropoda; Arachnida; Ixodida; Ixodidae. The record is from RNAcentral.